RNAcentral lists this ribosomal RNA (553 nucleotides) under cf. Diaporthe sp. Fun510A. RNAcentral describes it as "partial 18S ribosomal RNA". The stretch from base 218 to 371 matches the Rfam family "5.8S ribosomal RNA". Lineage: Eukaryota; Fungi; Ascomycota; Sordariomycetes; Diaporthales; Diaporthaceae. The record is from RNAcentral.
GUAACAAGGUCUCCGUUGGUGAACCAGCGGAGGGAUCAUUGCUGGAACGCGCCCCAGGCGCACCCAGAAACCCUUUGUGAACUUAUACCUUACUGUUGCCUCGGCGCAUGCCGGCCCCCAGGGGCCCCUUGGAGACGAGGAGCAGGCACGCCGGCGGCCAACCUAACUCUUGUUUUUACACUGAAACUUUGAGGAAAAAAAAAACAAAAUGAAUCAAAACUUUCAACAACGGAUCUCUUGGUUCUGGCAUCGAUGAAGAACGCAGCGAAAUGCGAUAAGUAAUGUGAAUUGCAGAAUUCAGUGAAUCAUCGAAUCUUUGAACGCACAUUGCGCCCUCCGGUAUUCCGGAGGGCAUGCCUGUUCGAGCGUCAUUUCAACCCUCAAGCACUGCUUGGUGUUGGGGCACUGCUCCUCUCGCGGGGAGCAGGCCCUGAAAUUCAGUGGCGAGCUCGCCAGGACCCCGAGCGCAGUAGUUAAACCCUCGCUCUGGAAGGCCCUGGCGGUGCCCUGCCGUUAAACCCCCAACUCUUGAAAAUUAGAAUCGGAUCAGUAG